AGUGAACGCUGGCGGUAGGCCUAACACAUGCAAGUCGAACGGCAGCACAGGAGAGCUUGCUCUCUGGGUGGCGAGUGGCGGACGGGUGAGGAAUACAUCGGAAUCUACUCUGUCGUGGGGGAUAACGUAGGGAAACUUACGCUAAUACCGCAUACGACCUACGGGGGAAAGCAGGGGACCUUCGGGCCUUGCGCGAUUGAAUGAGCCGAUGUCGGAUUAGCUAGUUGGCGGGGUAAAGGCCCACCAAGGCGACGAUCCGUAGCUGGUCUGAGAUGAUGAUCAUCCACUGGAACUGAGACACGGUCCAGACUCCUACGGGAGGCAGCAGUGGGGCAUAUUGGACAAUGGGCGCAAGCCUGAUCCAGCCAUACCGCGUGGGUGAAGAAGGCCUUCGGGUUGUAAAGCCCUUUUGUUGGGAAAGAAAUCCAGCUGGCUAAUACCCGGUUGGGAUGACGGUACCCAAAGAAUAAGCACCGGCUAACUUCGUGCCAGCCGCCGCGGUAA
RNAcentral lists this ribosomal RNA (504 nucleotides) under uncultured bacterium. Its description in RNAcentral is "partial 16S ribosomal RNA". It matches the Rfam family "Bacterial small subunit ribosomal RNA", at positions 29 to 523 of the family's 1533-position model. The record is from RNAcentral.